RNAcentral lists this ribosomal RNA (252 nucleotides) under uncultured bacterium. RNAcentral's name for it is "partial 16S ribosomal RNA". It matches the Rfam family "Bacterial small subunit ribosomal RNA", at positions 1248 to 1500 of the family's 1533-position model. The record is from RNAcentral.
AGCCAAGUCGUGAGGCGGAGCUAAUCCCUUAAAGCCAUUCUCAGUUCGGAUUGUAGGCUGAAACUCGCCUACAUGAAGCUGGAGUUACUAGUAAUGGCAGGUCAGCAUACUGCCGUGAAUACGUUCCCGGGCCUUGUACACACCGCCCGUCACACCAUGAGAGUUGGGAAUACCCGAAGCCUGUGAGCUAACUUUUAGAGGCAGCAGUCGAAGGUAGAAUCAAUGAUUGGGGUGAAGUCGUAACAAGGUAGC